This is a microRNA precursor of Oryza sativa Japonica Group (Japanese rice), 207 nucleotides long. It matches the Rfam family "MIR812 microRNA precursor family". NCBI's taxonomy places the organism in Eukaryota, Viridiplantae, Streptophyta, Magnoliopsida, Poales, Poaceae. The record is from Rfam.
UCCGUGUCCAACAUUUAAGUUUCCGUGUCCAACAUUUGAAUGUCCGUUUUAUAUGAAUUUUUUCAUAAUUAGUAUUUUUAUUGUUGUUAGAUGAUAAAACAUAAUUAGUACUUUAUACGUGACUUAUCUUUUUAAUUUUUUUCAUAAUUUUUUUAAAUAAGACGAACGGUCAAAUGUUGGAAAUAAAAACCUAGGAUUUGUCUUUUU